UGGGGUUGGAUAGGUAGUGGUGGUCUGGAAGGAUGUUGCAGUGACAGGACCUGUGGAAGAGAUGGGAGUGGUCCCUGUAGGUGGGGAGUGUGUGGUGAAGGGUGUGGGUAGCCUGCUGCUGGUGGCCGACGUGGUGUGGGCCACAGGGGUUCUGGUGCCUGUACUGGUGUGGUUGGGGGUGAUGCUGGUGGUAGAAGUUGAGGUGACUUCAGGAUGGUGUGUGGAGGAAGUGUGUGAAUGUAGGGAUGUAGAGGUUUUGGCUGUGUUUAAUGAGCUCAGGGCUUGGCUGGUCCCGCUGGUGGUCAGCGUCAUUGUUGGCGCUGUGUGGGUGGACCCUGUGGCCUUGAGCGUUGUCGGUGGAGGAAUCGUGCCUGUUGGCAUUGAGUGGAUGGAGGCAGAAGUGGCCAUCUGUGCAUGGGUAGGGGUGAUGACUGUGUGAGUACUUGGAGUCACCAAAGAGGUGGAGAAAGGUGGAACGUGAGUGGGAAGUGUGGUCUGAGGGUGUGAUGGGGUUGGAUAGGUAGUGGUGGUCUUGAAGGAUGUUGCCGUCAUGGGACCUGUGGAAGAGAAGGGACUGCUCCCUGUAGGUGGGGAGUGUGUGGUGAAGGGUGGUGGUGGCCUGCUGCUGGUGGCUGAGGUGGU
RNAcentral lists this long non-coding RNA (642 nucleotides) under Homo sapiens (human). Its description in RNAcentral is "long non-coding RNA NONHSAT017372.2". The record is from RNAcentral. Lineage: Eukaryota; Metazoa; Chordata; Mammalia; Primates; Hominidae.